GUUCUCUCCGAAAUAUAUUUAGGUAUAGCGUUGUGUCGUAAUAUAAGGGGGUAGAGCACUGAAUGGGCUAGGGCAUACACCAAUGUACCAAACCCUAUCAAACUCCGAAUACCUUAUAUGUAAUCACAGCAGUCAGGCGGCGAGUGAUAAAAUCCGUCGUCAAGAGGGAAACAACCCAGACUACCAGCUAAGGUCCCUAAAUCUUACUUAAGUGGAAAACGAUGUGAAGUUACUUAAACAACCAGGAGGUUGGCUUAGAAGCAGCCAUCCUUUAAAGAAAGCGUAAUAGCUCACUGGUCUAGUGAUUUUGCGCGGAAAAUAUAACGGGGCUAAAGUAAGUACCGAAGCUGUAGACUUAGUUUACUAAGUGGUAGGAGAGCGUUCUAUUUGCGUCGAAGGUAUACCGGUAAGGAGUGCUGGAGCGAAUAGAAGUGAGCAUGCAGGCAUGAGUAGCGAUAAUUAAUGUGAGAAUCAUUAACGCCGUAAACCCAAGGUUUCCUACGCGAUGCUCGUCAUCGUAGGGUUAGUCGGGUCCUAAGUCGAGUCCGAAAGGGGUAGACGAUGGCAAAUUGGUUAAUAUUCCAAUACCAACAUUAGUGUGCGAUGGAAGGACGCUUAGGGCUAAGGGGGCUAGCGGAUGGAAGUGCUAGUCUAAGGUCGUAGGAGGUUAUACAGGCAAAUCCGUAUAACAAUACUCCGAGAACUGAAAGGCUUUUUGAAGUCUUCGGAUGGAUAGAAGAACCCCUGAUGCCGUCGAGCCAAGAAAAGUUUCUAAGUUUAGCUAAUGUUGCCCGUACCGUAAACCGACACAGGUGGGUGGGAUGAGUAUUCUAAGGCGCGUGGAAGAACUCUCUUUAAGGAACUCUGCAAAAUAGCACCGUAUCUUCGGUAUAAGGUGUGGUUAGCUUUGUAUUAGGAUUUACUCCGAAAGCAAGGAAACUUACAACAAAGAGUCCCUCCCGACUGUUUACCAAAAACACAGCACUCUGCUAACUCGUAAGAGGAUGUAUAGGGUGUGACGCCUGCCCGGUGCUCGAAGGUUAAUUGAUGGGGUUAGCAUUAGCGAAGCUCUUGAUCGAAGCCCGAGUAAACGGCGGCCGUAACUAUAACGGUCCUAAGGUAGCGAAAUUCCUUGUCGGUUAAAUACCGACCUGCAUGAAUGGCGUAACGAGAUGGGAGCUGUCUCAAAGAGGGAUCCAGUGAAAUUGUAGUGGAGGUGAAAAUUCCUCCUACCCGCGGCAAGACGGAAAGACCCCGUGGACCUUUACUACAGCUUGACACUGCUACUUGGAUAAGAAUGUGCAGGAUAGGUGGGAGGCUUUGAGUAUAUGACGCCAGUUGUAUAUGAGCCAUUGUUGAGAUACCACUCUUUCUUAUUUGGGUAGCUAACCAGCUUGAGUUAUCCUCAAGUGGGACAAUGUCUGGUGGGUAGUUUGACUGGGGCGGUCGCCUCCCAAAUAAUAACGGAGGCUUACAAAGGUUGGCUCAGAACGGUUGGAAAUCGUUCGUAGAGUAUAAAGGUAUAAGCCAGCUUAACUGCAAGACAUACAAGUCAAGCAGAGACGAAAGUCGGUCUUAGUGAUCCGGUGGUUCUGUGUGGAAGGGCCAUCGCUCAAAGGAUAAAAGGUACCCCGGGGAUAACAGGCUGAUCUCCCCCAAGAGCUCACAUCGACGGGGAGGUUUGGCACCUCGAUGUCGGCUCAUCGCAUCCUGGGGCUGGAGCAGGUCCCAAGGGUAUGGCUGUUCGCCAUUUAAAGCGGUACGCGAGCUGGGUUCAGAACGUCGUGAGACAGUUCGGUCCCUAUCUGCCGUGGGCGUAAGAAGAUUGAAGAGAUUUGACCCUAGUACGAGAGGACCGGGUUGAACAAACCACUGGUGUAGCUGUUGUUCUGCCAAGAGCAUCGCAGCGUAGCUAAGUUUGGAAAGGAUAAACGCUGAAAGCAUCUAAGCGUGAAGCCAACUCUAAGAUGAAUCUUCUCUAAGCUCUCUAGAAGACUACUAGUUUGAUAGGCUGGGUGUGUAAUGGAUGAAAGUCCUUUAGCUGACCAGUACUAAUAGAGCGUUUGGCUUAUCUUUAAUAAAGCAU
This 2086-nucleotide ribosomal RNA is filed under the name Campylobacter jejuni. RNAcentral's name for it is "partial 23S ribosomal RNA". It matches the Rfam family "Bacterial large subunit ribosomal RNA", at positions 852 to 2925 of the family's 2925-position model. The record is from RNAcentral. Lineage: Bacteria; Pseudomonadati; Campylobacterota; Epsilonproteobacteria; Campylobacterales; Campylobacteraceae.